AUUCCCAGUGCUGCACCGAGAGGACCUGUCUCCUGUGGACUGGAAGUUCUGUGGACCGGGAGUUUCUGGAGAGCCGUGUUGGUGAACAGCUGGCAGUAAUUUCCUAAGUCCCAUCUCUUCAUUUUCCUUUGUGUUGCAUUUCGUUUCGGAACAUCCAGAAACC
RNAcentral lists this non-coding RNA (163 nucleotides) under Myotis lucifugus (little brown bat). RNAcentral describes it as "ODC internal ribosome entry site (IRES)". It matches the Rfam family "ODC internal ribosome entry site (IRES)". Lineage: Eukaryota; Metazoa; Chordata; Mammalia; Chiroptera; Vespertilionidae. The record is from Rfam by way of RNAcentral.